ACGUAGGGGGCAAGCGUUAUCCGGAUUUACUGGGUGUAAAGGGAGCGCAGGCGGCGCGGCAAGUCUGAUGUGAAAGCCCGGGGCCCAACCCCGGGACUGCAUUGGAAACUGCCGGGCUGGAGUGUGGGAGAGGCAGGCGGAAUUCCUAGUGUAGCGGUGAAAUGCGUAGAUAUUAGGAGGAACACCAGUGGCGAAGGCGGCCUGCUGGACCAAGACUGACGCUGAGGCUCGAAAGCGUGGGGAGCAAA
RNAcentral lists this ribosomal RNA (248 nucleotides) under uncultured bacterium. RNAcentral's name for it is "partial 16S ribosomal RNA". It matches the Rfam family "Bacterial small subunit ribosomal RNA", at positions 525 to 772 of the family's 1533-position model. The record is from RNAcentral.